AUUACGCUCUUUAGGAAAUAAUAAAUUGCAGACACUUCGAAACACUAUUCCCUAAUAUGGUGUUGUUUAAGCUUGGCUUCAGUUUCAUUGUUCUUCUCAUGGCAACCACAAUGAACGCGCUAUGGUUCUCGAAGACGAAUGUACUGGCAUGGAAUGUUGAGCAUGAUUUCUCAAGAGUUGAAAGAUGUCUACUCCCUCAACUUAAUGGCAUUCUAACUUGUGAGAGAGAUUGUCAAACCAACGAUGACUGCAAUGAUUGUUGGAUUUGUUGCAAGUGUAAUCGGUUCCGUCGUUGCAACAUGGUUGCUGGGUAAAGUAUGUGCAAAUUGCACAUUAUUGUUCAAAUGCGACGAACUCUACUACUAUUUCCAAUUACUAUUUUACCUUUUCGUGUAAUUUCAGUUUUUUUUCUUUAUUCAUUUCAAUGUUUCCUUGUCUUUUAGAUUUGUACGAAUAAAGAAGAAAGUUACGUGAAUGACUUUCUAUUUGGAAAUGUGAAAGGAUUAACCGCCGUGGUGAAUUUUAGUACUUUGUAUCUGUUUAUAAUUUUCAUGCAUUUACCAAUUCAUUU
Long non-coding RNA from Nicotiana attenuata, 571 nucleotides. RefSeq lists it as uncharacterized. The record is from RefSeq and is a predicted model, not a curated record. Lineage: Eukaryota; Viridiplantae; Streptophyta; Magnoliopsida; Solanales; Solanaceae. The transcript is spliced from 2 exons.